CUGCUAAACGCGGCCCACUGGCGCUGUCAAGACGGAGGGUGCUAGCGUUAGCCGGAUUUAUUGGGUUUAAAGGUGCCGUAGGCGGACCGGUAAGUUCGUGGUGAAAGCCUACAGCUUAACUGUAGAACUGCCGUUGAUACUGUCGGUCUUGAGUGUGGUUGAGGUAGCUGGAAUGAGUAGUGUAGCGGUGAAAUGUAUAGAUAUUACUCAGAACACCAAUUGCGAAGGCAGGUUACCAAGUCACAACUGACGCUGAUGGACGAAAGCGUGGGGAGCGAACAGGAUUAGAUACCCGGUAGUC
Molecule: ribosomal RNA, 301 nt
Filed under: uncultured Lactobacillus sp.
Lineage: Bacteria; Bacillati; Bacillota; Bacilli; Lactobacillales; Lactobacillaceae
Description: bacterial SSU rRNA
Rfam family: Bacterial small subunit ribosomal RNA
Source: RNAcentral